This 489-nucleotide ribosomal RNA is filed under the name uncultured Providencia sp. RNAcentral's name for it is "bacterial SSU rRNA". It matches the Rfam family "Bacterial small subunit ribosomal RNA", at positions 1 to 504 of the family's 1533-position model. The record is from RNAcentral. Lineage: Bacteria; Pseudomonadati; Pseudomonadota; Gammaproteobacteria; Enterobacterales; Morganellaceae.
UCGGCUUAGAGUUUGAUCAUGGCUCAGAUUGAACGCUGGCGGCAGGCCUAACACAUGCAAGUCGAGCGGUAGGGAAGCUUGCUUCUCACGAGCGGCGGACGGGUGAGUAAUGUAUGGGGAUCUGCCCGAUAGAGGGGGAUAACUACUGGAAACGGUAGCUAAUACCGCAUAAUCUCUCAGGAGCAAAGCAGUUCGUUGCGCUAUCGGAUGAACCCAUAUGGGAUUAGCUAGUUGGUGAGGUAAUGGCUCACCAAGGCGACGAUCCCUAGCUGGUCUGAGAGGAUGAUCAGCCACACUGGGACUGAGACACGGCCCAGACUCCUACGGGAGGCAGCAGUGGGGAAUAUUGCACAAUGGGCGCAAGCCUGAUGCAGCCAUGCCGCGUGUAUGAAGAAGGCCUUAGGGUUGUAAAGUACUUUCAGUUGGGAGGAAGGCGUUGAUUAAUAUCAACGAUUGACGUUACCAACAGAAGAAGCACCGGCUAACUCC